This 1010-nucleotide long non-coding RNA is filed under the name Nicotiana benthamiana. RNAcentral's name for it is "long non-coding RNA (NBEN_LNC011844)". Lineage: Eukaryota; Viridiplantae; Streptophyta; Magnoliopsida; Solanales; Solanaceae. The record is from RNAcentral.
UACGAGUUACAAGAUUCCUAUCUAUGAGUCUUCUCAAGCUUGAUCUUGAGUCUUGGUUGGUUCUUCAUGCGGACCCUGAUCUGAAUCUUGAUGCUUGUUAGCUGCAGGUAUUUGUUCAAUCUUCUUCAGCUUUUCAAACCAAUCAUGCAGAGCUUGUGAUCUCAGUCUUGUCUUGAGCAGCUCACAUCUUUCAUUAGCUUCUGCAUUUGGAUUCACUUCUUGUCUUCCUUUUUGUUAUUCUUUUAUUUUUAUUCUAGAUUAUAACUAACUUCUGUUGAUCAUCUCGGACUGUUGACUCGCAUUCUUGACGCGAGCUUCUUUUGUUGCUGACCUGAAUUGCACUCUGAAUUGAAUUCUCCUUUUUUCCAGGUGGGCGCCUGAUUGCUGAACUUGAACCGUCUUCUCUUAUUACUUGACAUUGUUUUCCCUUGCACCUUGAACCAUUUUCCCUUGAAACUUGAACUAUCUUCCUUCGAAAUUGCUUUCCCUUGAAAUUUGAGUUGUAUUCCCUUUUUCUCCAGGUGGGCGCCUGAUUGUUGAACUUGAACUGCUUUUCCUUGAAACUUACACUACUUUUCCUCGAAACUUGAACUUCUUUCCUUUGAAACUUGAGUUGCUUCCUUUGAAAUUGCUUUCCCUUGAAACUUGAACUAUCUUCCCCUUAUUCUCCAGGUGGUCGUCUGAUUCUACAACAAAAUAGACAAAACAAAAGAAAUUUUUCUGCCCCAGUUUGCACUAGGAAGCUUCAUGAGUUGUUGGCAAAACUAUAUAUCACCUAUAUUGCUGAUGGAUGAUGUAGUGGUGAGAGUAAAAUUAAUGACUCGACUAGGAUGUGAAUCUCUUAAAAGUGAUUGAGCUUGCGGAAAACUAUAAACUAAGCUUGACUAAAGUAAAAAUUUACCUUAUCCUCCAGGCGGGACCCCUGAUUUCAAGAAAACUAAAAAUUAAUACUCUCUUUUUUAAAUCCAGACUUCCCUUCUUGUUUUUUUUUUUGUCAAAUUCAGACUUCC